UGUUAGGUUGAUCUUUUUUGUUUUGUCUGUGAAGGAUUUUGAAGUACUUUAUUGCAUUUGAAAGAUAUAUUGAACUUUUGGUUCACCAAGGAAGUCUAUGAUUGGUCGCUAGGUUGAAUAGGUAUAAGGCCCAUUAAGUUUGGAAAAGUAAAAACAAUUUGGACUCAUGUCACAUAAAUUCUUUUUCUCUCUCUAAAUUUAGUGGUUUGAUCUGCAUUUUCCUAUCCGAGUUUUCUUAUGCUAUAGAAAAAAGGCAUCUGGAUGUAUGCUUUCCUUUCUGCCUAAACUCUGUUAAAAUUGGUUAGACCAUAAAUGUUGUAGAGGUGGAAAGAUGAAAUUUGCAUGGUUGCAAGGUUCAUUAAAGUUAUAUCAAUUCAUUACAGGGAAAAUAUUUUUAUGAAAAAUUGAGCCUUGAUUUGUGGAUAGGUGGGACAAAAGAUAACCUAGGCAUGAUGGACAAAAAGAAAAGAAGGAAUGGUACUCCUGUAUGGAGACCAGUUUGUACUCAAGCUUGUUCCCUUGAAGGCUUUCCUAGUGGAGUUCUUUGACUGUGUUCUUUCCUAUCAUUUUGGAAAUUUCUUGUGUAACAGGUAAUUUCUCUAUCAGUAGCUUUAGCCUGCUGUGUCAGUUUAAGUUGUGCCAAAACCAUUAAAAUUCCCACAUCUCACUAUGAGUUUGGUGCCAACUUCAUUGACCCGAAUGUAGGUGGCUUCUCUCAUUAUCUCUACUCUUCCCGUUCACCCUCUUGUCCUCAAUUCUUUUAUCUUAAUAAAUCAAGUUAUAAGUAGGACCAAUUAUGGUCUUCUAGUUGAUGCUUAUUGGGAGGGUGCUAACCGAUGGUAGACUCAAUGCAAGAGUGAAAUGGGAUUUGACAGAAAAUCUUACUGUGAAGGCUAAUGCUCAGGUAAAUCAUGUUUUCAUAUAUCAUUUAGUCUUUUUUCUUUCUUGUUUAGUUACAGAGUAUAUGUUUUUCUUGUGUAAACACAUUGAUAGUUUUUUGUUUCUUGUUCCAUCUCACAAAUGAGCCUAAUAUGUCGCAUGGCAUGUUCAACUUGGAUUACAAGGCCGAUCACUCUUAAACUGUAUUAUAUCUUACCUAAUUGGCUUUCAUCCUUGUAUAUUUCUCUCUGUGUCAUUGCAAGUGUCAUACCUGGCAUUCUGAUUGUUUUUGAGUUUAUUCAUCAUUAUUUUUGUGCUUGUAAACAAAAUUUAUGUGGUGGCUUGGGCUUGCUGCCAUAAAAUAUGAGUCUUUUGUUUUUUUAACUUUUUUUCCCUUGUAAAGGGUAAAGACUUCAGGUCUCGGUUUCAAAUGGGAAAUGGUGCCUUAUUUGGUUCUAGUUACAUCCAGGUGGACAGCGGAAGAAGAAUCUGCACUCAAGGCAGGAGUUCUUAAGCAUGGUACUGGAAAAUGGCGCAAUAUUCGUUCAGAUCCUGAGCUUAGUUCUGUCUUGCGUUCAUGCUCAAAUGUGGAUCUCAAGGUAUGUAGCUGAGCCUCAAGCAUGAUUCACUAAGUAUAGUUGGAACUCUGCACUUGGAAAAUGGAUCUUACAAAAUUGAUUCUUGGGAUGGUAAAGAUAACCUACGGUGCUUGCAAAGUGCAAUUUGAUUAUUGGGUGUACAUAGCGAGAAGUUGGGAAAUAAUUCCAUUGUAUAUUAGGGUUAUAAGUGGGAAGCGUGA
Long non-coding RNA from Hibiscus syriacus, 1678 nucleotides. RefSeq lists it as uncharacterized. The record is from RefSeq and is a predicted model, not a curated record. NCBI's taxonomy places the organism in Eukaryota, Viridiplantae, Streptophyta, Magnoliopsida, Malvales, Malvaceae. The transcript has 3 exons.